Pelobates cultripes (western spadefoot toad) is the source of this 218-nucleotide non-coding RNA. Lineage: Eukaryota; Metazoa; Chordata; Amphibia; Anura; Pelobatidae. The record is from the annotation of a GenBank genome assembly.
GAAACACACAAUGCAUCCCUUGCACACACAUGCAAACACACACUGCUUCUCUUACACACACACACACAGAAACACAAUGCAUCUCUUACACACACUCAACGCACCCCUUACAGACACACACACUGCAUCCCUUACAUACACAGAAACACACAUUGCAUCCCUUAUGCAUACAAACACAGAUUCACACAAUGCAUCCCUUACACACAACAAGAAACACA